RNAcentral lists this ribosomal RNA (328 nucleotides) under Escherichia coli. RNAcentral's name for it is "bacterial SSU rRNA". It matches the Rfam family "Bacterial small subunit ribosomal RNA", at positions 1216 to 1533 of the family's 1533-position model. The record is from RNAcentral. Lineage: Bacteria; Pseudomonadati; Pseudomonadota; Gammaproteobacteria; Enterobacterales; Enterobacteriaceae.
ACACACGUGCUACAAUGGCGCAUACAAAGAGAAGCGACCUCGCGAGAGCAAGCGGACCUCAUAAAGUGCGUCGUAGUCCGGAUUGGAGUCUGCAACUCGACUCCAUGAAGUCGGAAUCGCUAGUAAUCGUGGAUCAGAAUGCCACGGUGAAUACGUUCCCGGGCCUUGUACACACCGCCCGUCACACCAUGGGAGUGGGUUGCAAAAGAAGUAGGUAGCUUAACCUUCGGGAGGGCGCUUACCACUUUGUGAUUCAUGACUGGGGUGAAGUCGUAACAAGGUAACCGUAGGGGAACCUGCGGUUGGAUCACCUCCUUACCUUAAAGAA